GUGUAUGGGGGUCAGUCGGUAUAUCCCAACAAGGACUAUGUAAUGGCUUCUUUCCUGUCUUGUGGUCCAUGACCACCAUCACAUGGGCCGAUCACAGGGAGGUCAUAAUAGUGAAGACCUUAGAAGAUUCAAACUCCUUCCUUGGCAUUGAGCACUACUCAGUUGUAACUGAGAUGGAGCCCGUCCGUUGUAGAAGUUCGUCUGAAAUCCAAUUCUGUCGUUGAAGUUCGGAUGG
This 235-nucleotide long non-coding RNA is filed under the name Elaeis guineensis (African oil palm). Its description in RNAcentral is "long non-coding RNA (EGUI_LNC041866)". Lineage: Eukaryota; Viridiplantae; Streptophyta; Magnoliopsida; Arecales; Arecaceae. The record is from RNAcentral.